This is a long non-coding RNA of Mangifera indica (mango), 610 nucleotides long. RefSeq lists it as uncharacterized. The transcript is spliced from 2 exons. The record is from RefSeq and is a predicted model, not a curated record. Lineage: Eukaryota; Viridiplantae; Streptophyta; Magnoliopsida; Sapindales; Anacardiaceae.
AAAUAUAUUUAAAAAAUUAAAACCCACCUCACUAUUUUCUCAUUCCUAAAAUUUGCAUGGCCCAAACUCUGACCCGAGUUCUCCAUUCAAUCCCGCCACAAGACAGCGACUACUUCCUCGGCUGCAGCCACGACCAACAACAAGAGUAAGAAUCUAUUUGUCUGACUCCUCGUUGUUUAUCUUGGGGUUAACCAGUCGGUGACUCAACGGUGAGGCCUGUAUAGAGAGUGCAUGGGCCCAUUGGCAAAAACUAGGCCGACCCAAGUUUGUCGUUGCAACGAUGGUUGACAAUUCAGAGCUCCCGUUCCGGAUGCUUUGUAGAAAGAACGGUGCUGAGGCUGCAUAUACACCCAUGCUGCAUUCACGAAUUUUUACUGAGACUCAAAAAAGUAUAUAAAUCAAGAAUUUGCCACCUGUAAGGAGGAUCGCCCAUUGUUUGUUCACUUUUGUGCCGAUGAUCCAGUCACAUUAUUAGAUGCUGCGCGGAGAGUGGAACCUUUCCGUGAUUAUGUUGACAUCAAUUUAGAGUAAUAUAUUUUCUCCCCCGGUUUAUUUAACUUUUCCAGUCUGAUUGAUUUUAUUAAAUUAAAACAAUAACGAAGAAUCUUCA